RNAcentral lists this unclassified non-coding RNA (306 nucleotides) under Aphyllon uniflorum var. uniflorum. Its description in RNAcentral is "partial external transcribed spacer". Lineage: Eukaryota; Viridiplantae; Streptophyta; Magnoliopsida; Lamiales; Orobanchaceae. The record is from RNAcentral.
GUGCAUUCCAUUUCAGUUGUUGCCUCAAGUUUUACUUGGUCGUUGUGUGUUUCCUGUGCUAAAUACCUAACAUGAAGGCAUUCCAUUUGAUGUGGACACUAUAUCCACCUUUUGAUGCCCCCCAAGAGGAGUGCGUUUUGUUGGUGGACCUCAAAUCAUGCAUUGUGGUUCACAUCCUUUGCCUGCCUGUUCAUGCUUUGGUUGUUGACCCAUGAUGUUGUGUUUGAUCUCUUGGAUAUUGAAAAUUGUGAGGGAAUGGGUCUUUGGCCUUUAAUGACCCCAAAUUAAGCGUUCGACCCUAUAAGC